CCAGGAUGUUGGCUUAGAAGCAGCCAUCAUUUAAAGAAAGCGUAAUAGCUCACUGGUCGAGUCGGCCUGCGCGGAAGAUGUAACGGGGCUAAACCAUGCACCGAAGCUGCGGCAGCGAACGUAUCACUUAAAGCGAUUCAGCGCGUUACGAUUGACGGAGCGAAGCGACGUCAAAGCGUAUACAAAGUCGAGUCGGUUUAAGGAUACGUUCGUUGGGUAGGGGAGCGUUCUGUAAGCCCGUGAAGGUGGCCUGUGAGGGUUGCUGGAGGUAUCAGAAGUGCGAAUGCUGACAUAAGUAACGAUAAAGCGGGUGAAAAGCCCGCUCGCCGGAAGACCAAGGGUUCCUGUCCAACGUUAAUCGGGGCA
Molecule: ribosomal RNA, 366 nt
Filed under: Salmonella enterica subsp. enterica serovar Haifa
Lineage: Bacteria; Pseudomonadati; Pseudomonadota; Gammaproteobacteria; Enterobacterales; Enterobacteriaceae
Description: partial 23S ribosomal RNA
Rfam family: Bacterial large subunit ribosomal RNA
Source: RNAcentral